Molecule: long non-coding RNA, 404 nt
Organism: Phyllopteryx taeniolatus (common seadragon)
Lineage: Eukaryota; Metazoa; Chordata; Actinopteri; Syngnathiformes; Syngnathidae
Exons: 3
Source: RefSeq, a predicted model, not a curated record
UCUGAAUCAGAAUCCUUUUGGAGGGAGCUUGGACCCACCCAAGGCCCAGUCCGAGAGGUGCCUGAGCAGCUUCAAGUCGCCGGGGAUGGUAAUGAUGUACAAGAAGUGGAAGAGGAUGUCCACAACCAGGAUUACAGCCAGCACCUGAGGAGCCAGCAUGGAGCAGAGCUUGGCGAACAGCAAGUGUCCAGACAGAGCGAACACAAUGUGAGCCCGGAAGGUCCAAAUCCACAUGGCCCACUCUGAGUCGGCCGUGUCCUUGAAGGACAAAAAAACAGAACUAAAGUCAGUCACUCCUUCUUGCUGGUCUCCUGUCCUUCAAACACGGGGUACUGGACCUCCAGCUGAGGCCAAGUCGAGACGCCGUUGGCCAGCGACCAAAUCACACCAGGCAAGGCGUCCAC